GCCAGCGUAGCUUCAAUUGGCAGAGCAUCGCAUUCGUAAUGCGAGGGUUGCCGGUUCAAAUCCGGCCGCUGGCU
Molecule: non-coding RNA, 74 nt
Organism: Rhodopirellula sp. SWK7
Lineage: Bacteria; Pseudomonadati; Planctomycetota; Planctomycetia; Pirellulales; Pirellulaceae
Source: Rfam